RNAcentral lists this ribosomal RNA (253 nucleotides) under Tepidisphaera sp. RNAcentral's name for it is "partial 16S ribosomal RNA". It matches the Rfam family "Bacterial small subunit ribosomal RNA", at positions 524 to 776 of the family's 1533-position model. The record is from RNAcentral. RNAcentral also lists the same sequence under 1 other name. Lineage: Bacteria; Pseudomonadati; Planctomycetota; Phycisphaerae; Tepidisphaerales; Tepidisphaeraceae.
GACAGAGGUGCCAAGCGUUAGGCGGAAUCACUGGGCUUAAAGCGUGUGUAGGCGGAUUUGUAAGUACCUUGUGAAAUCCCACAGCUCAACUGUGGAACUGCUGGGUAUACUGCUUAUCUUGAGCCACUUAGGGGCUGUCGGAACAAAUGGUGGAGCGGUGAAAUGCGUAGAUAUCAUUUGGAACGCCAACGGUGAAAACAGACAGCUGGGAGUGUGCUGACGCUGAGACACGAAAGCCAGGGGAGCGAACGGG